This 373-nucleotide ribosomal RNA is filed under the name uncultured bacterium. RNAcentral describes it as "bacterial SSU rRNA". It matches the Rfam family "Bacterial small subunit ribosomal RNA", at positions 523 to 898 of the family's 1533-position model. The record is from RNAcentral.
AUACGGAGGAUCCGAGCGUUAUCCGGAUUUAUUGGGUUUAAAGGGUGCGUAGGCGGACUGGUAAGUCAGUGGUGAAAUCCUGCAGCUUAACUGUAGAAUUGCCGUUGAUACUGUUAGUCUUGAGUACAUUUGAGGUAGGCGGAAUGUGGUGUGUAGCGGUGAAAUGCAUAGAUAUACCACAGAACACCGAUUGCGAAGGCAGCUUACUAAACUGUAACUGACGCUGAGGCACGAAAGCGUGGGUAUCAAACAGGAUUAGAUACCCUGGUAGUCCACGCUGUAAACGAUGAUUACUGGUUGUUUGCGAUACAUUGCAAGUGACUGAGCGAAAGCAUUAAGUAAUCCACCUGGGGAGUACGUCGGCAACGAUGAA